GCCGGGCAUGGUGGCGUGUGCCUGUAGUCCCAGCUACUCAGGAGGCUGAGGUGGAAGGAUCACUUGAGCCCAGGAGGUCAAGGCUGCAAUGAGCUAUGAUCCCGUGCCACUGCACUCCAGCCUGGGCAACAGAGUGAGACCCUGUCUCAA
Unclassified non-coding RNA from Pongo abelii (Sumatran orangutan), 150 nucleotides. It matches the Rfam family "Metazoan signal recognition particle RNA". Rfam says of the family: The signal recognition particle (SRP) is a universally conserved ribonucleoprotein. It is involved in the co-translational targeting of proteins to membranes. The record is from Ensembl. Lineage: Eukaryota; Metazoa; Chordata; Mammalia; Primates; Hominidae.